RNAcentral lists this ribosomal RNA (1377 nucleotides) under Conus gloriamaris. RNAcentral describes it as "16S ribosomal RNA". It matches the Rfam family "Bacterial large subunit ribosomal RNA", at positions 450 to 2768 of the family's 2925-position model. Lineage: Eukaryota; Metazoa; Mollusca; Gastropoda; Neogastropoda; Conidae. The record is from RNAcentral.
AGUUUAAUGCUUGCAGCUAAAUAUCAAUAGGGAAUUGUAAAAUAAUUUUAUAUAAAAAACAUUAUAAGAUUUAGUAAAGGUGAUUGAAACUUAAUAUUAUUUGCAUGCAUAUAGUACUGCGAAGGAAAGCAUAAAAUUGGAAACUAGAAAUUUUUAAAAUUUGUACCUUUUGCAUCAUGGCUUAACUAGAUUAAUUUCUAAAUAGAGGAUCUCGAAACCUAGUGAGCUAUUCUUAUUCUGUUUUAUAGAUCAUUAUAAUGAGUUGGUUGUGGCAAAAACUUCUCAAGAAUUAAGAAUAGAUAUGAAAUUUUAUUCGCACUGGGUGAUAGCUAGUUCUUCUCGAUGGGUAUAUUAGUACUUUGGGCUGUAGAUCUAAUAAAAUAAAUAAAAAUUUAUUUUAUUUAUGAUAGCCUAAUUAGACUUUUGAGGAUAAGCUCGAAAGUUAUUAAGAUUACAUUUAAUUUUUUUUGAAAUAUAAGCUUAGUAAUGGUUAUUAAUAUAAGGGAUUUUGUUAUAAUUCAUUUCUUAGUUACUAAUAGAAUUUAUUUGUUUAUAGUUAUAGAGAAGAAAUUUUAGUAAUUUUAUUAUAAAAUAUUUUUAUGUUAAGAUGAGUAUUGUUUUAUUUAUUUAGUAUACUAACAAGUUAAAAGUUGGUAUUUUUUGUAGCAUUUUAAAGUAAAAUCAUAAAAAGGAACUCGGCAAAUAUUGUAUUCUGCCUGUUUAUCAAAAACAUGGCUUCGUGUCAGUGUUAAAAUACGAAGUCGGACCUGCCCAGUGAGUUUUAAACGGCCGCGGUACUCUGACCGUGCAAAGGUAGCAUAAUCAUUUGCCUUAUAAUUGAAGGCUGGAAUGAAUGGUUUGACAAGAAUACACCUGUCUCUUUUAGAUUGCUUAGAAUUUUAUUUUUGGAUGAAAAAGUCCAGAUAUAAUUAAAAGACAAGAAGACCCUAUCGAGCUUUAGAGGAAUUAAUAGAGUUAAUUUAAACUAAUAUAAAUAAAAAGAAAACUAUUAAAUACUUUGGUUGGGGCAACCGAGGAGUAAGCAAAGCCUCCUUUAGACAUAAUAAAUCUUGCUUGUGUUGAUCCAAAACUUUUGAUCAAAGGAAUUAGUUACCGUAGGGAUAACAGCAUUAUCUUUUUCAAGAGCCCAUAUCGAAAAAAAGGUUUGUGACCUCGAUGUUGGACCAGAAUGUCCUAAAGAUGCAGAAGUCUUUAAGGGUUGGUCUGUUCGACCAUUAAAAUUCUACGUGAUCUGAGUUCAGACCGGCGUGAGCCAGGUCAGUUUCUAUCUUUAUAUUUUUUGAUUGCACCUAGUACGAAAGGACCGGUGUAAUAUAUUAUAUAUUUUUAUUAGAUCAAAUAUAAUUUAACUUUAAG